Molecule: ribosomal RNA, 301 nt
Filed under: uncultured bacterium
Lineage: Bacteria
Description: partial 16S ribosomal RNA
Rfam family: Bacterial small subunit ribosomal RNA
Source: RNAcentral
CAGCAGCCACGGUAAUACGUAGGGUGCAAGCGUUAAUCGGAAUUACUGGGCGUAAAGCGUGCGCAGGCGGUUAUAUAAGACAGAUGUGAAAUCCCCGGGCUCAACCUGGGAACUGCAUUUGUGACUGUAUAGCUAGAGUACGGCAGAGGGGGGUGGAAUUCCGCGUGUAGCAGUGAAAUGCGUAGAUAUGCGGAGGAACACCGAUGGCGAAGGCAAUCCCCUGGGCCUGUACUGACGCUCAUGCACGAAAGCGUGGGGAGCAAACAGGAUUAGAUACCCGGGUAGUCCCUGUCUCUUAUAC